This 446-nucleotide ribosomal RNA is filed under the name uncultured bacterium. RNAcentral describes it as "partial 16S ribosomal RNA". It matches the Rfam family "Bacterial small subunit ribosomal RNA", at positions 338 to 795 of the family's 1533-position model. The record is from RNAcentral.
CCUACGGGAGGCAGCAGUCGAGAAUCAUUCACAAUGGGGGAAACCCUGAUGGUGCGACGCCGCGUGGGGGAAUGAAGGUCUUCGGAUUGUAAACCCCUGUCAUGUGGGAGCAAAUUAACAAGAUAGUACCACAAGAGGAAGAGACGGCUAACUCUGUGCCAGCAGCCGCGGUAAUACAGAGGUCUCAAGCGUUGUUCGGAAUCACUGGGCGUAAAGCGUGCGUAGGCUGUUUCGUAAGUCGUGUGUGAAAGGCGCGGGCUCAACCCGCGGACGGCACAUGAUACUGGGAGACUAGAGUAAGGGAGAGGGAAGCGGAAUUCUCGGUGUAGCAGUGAAAUGCGUAGAUAUCGAGAGGAACACUCGUGGCGAAGGCGGGUUCCUGGACAUUAACUGACGCUGAGGCACGAAGGCCAGGGGAGCGAAAGGGAUUAGAUACCCUUGUAGUC